GAAUGCUCUAGACCCCAGUUAAUGAAGGAAGCAGCUUGAAAACCACAGGAUUCCCCGCGCAUUUUCAGGAAUCAGAUUCACUUUCAUGUUUGCCAAGCCAACUCAAGCACGCACAGCAGCUGUUUUGCAGCACAGCAGCUGUUUUGCCGAGGCUCCUGGAGUCCCACUGUAACCGGUAACUUUUUGGUCUGCAGGGUCAAUCAACUGCCCUCAGUCUGUGCAGCCGCCUCAAUGCCUGGCUUAGAGAAGUGUUUUUCCCCUCAACUCUUUGCCGUAGAGGACAUCCAAGUUGUCUCCCGUUUCUGGCUAUCAAGAAUGGCGCAGCAAUGAAUGUGGUUGAGCAAGUGUCCCUGCAGCAAGAUGAAGAAUAAUUUGGGUAUAUGGCUAUGCAGGAUCUUGAGAAAAAGGUCCCUCGUCUAAUCUCCUUUGAUUAGUCUCCUCUCUGACCAUGACCAAUUUACAACCUGAAUGAUGAUAAACAUCCAUGAUCCACCAAAUGAACAAAAGACACCCACCACACCUCUUGUGAAUAUGGGCAUCAAUAUCUGAUCUUUAUCAAUUUUGAAGAAAUCCAUAGCUUUUUGUUUCCUGUAGAACAAAAGCAUAACCCCUCUCUGUCCAAAAGUCUUGCCUAUUUUCCACUGUCUAGCUAUCAACCACUCAG
This is a long non-coding RNA of Mesocricetus auratus (golden hamster), 664 nucleotides long. RefSeq lists it as uncharacterized. The record is from RefSeq and is a predicted model, not a curated record. Lineage: Eukaryota; Metazoa; Chordata; Mammalia; Rodentia; Cricetidae. The transcript has 3 exons.